UCCUUGACAUUCUUGUUCUUAGUAUUUUAAUGCAUGACUUAACACAUGGUAUAUUUUGCAUAUGGUAUGAUGUCUUGAUUUAUGGAUUCUCAAUAUUUUGUAAUGUUUCAUACUUGGACAAUUUGAUUGAAUGUUUGAAUUGCUACAUAACAUCUUUUGUUUAGUUUUAUUGAAAAGAAAAUUCAGAUUUGUUAUUCACAAUCAUCGUUAAAAUCUGAAAGUUAAAUAAAUUUGUAAAAAAAAAAAAGGGAGAAAAGAAGGAUAUCUCUAUUUAGGCAAAAUGAAUUGAGUUUGUCUUAUCCAUCAACUUGCUUAACUUUGGUAUAUAAUGUGCUAACUCAUACCAAAAUUCAACAUAAAUACAAAUAUUCUGAAUAUGCUUGAAAUUUGUGUUUUCAAUCGUAAUGAUUUAAGAUAAGCUACAAUGUGGAAGAUCCAUAUCUCAAAUUAUGACUUUGAAAGCCUUUUUUGAAAAUCUUUAUGAAAUUCAGAAUC
RNAcentral lists this long non-coding RNA (495 nucleotides) under Phoenix dactylifera (date palm). RNAcentral describes it as "long non-coding RNA (PDAC_LNC021458)". Lineage: Eukaryota; Viridiplantae; Streptophyta; Magnoliopsida; Arecales; Arecaceae. The record is from RNAcentral.